RNAcentral lists this ribosomal RNA (249 nucleotides) under uncultured bacterium. Its description in RNAcentral is "partial 16S ribosomal RNA". It matches the Rfam family "Bacterial small subunit ribosomal RNA", at positions 15 to 217 of the family's 1533-position model. The record is from RNAcentral.
GAUCCUGGCUCAGGAUGAACGCUGGCGGCAUGCCUAAGACAUGCAAGUCGUACGCGAAGGCCUAAUGAUUACUACGGAAGAUUGGAGAGCUUGCUCAAAGAUUGGAAGUAGUAAGAUUUAGAUCACCUUCGAGUGGCAAACGGGUGAGUAACACGUGGGUUACCUGCCUCUAGGUUGGGGAUAACGGUUGGAAACGAUCGAUAAUACCGAAUAUGCUCUACGGAGUAAAGAAAGCCCUUAAAGACUUCG